Molecule: non-coding RNA, 89 nt
Organism: Mycena vulgaris
Lineage: Eukaryota; Fungi; Basidiomycota; Agaricomycetes; Agaricales; Mycenaceae
Source: the annotation of a GenBank genome assembly
AGGGGCGUGGUGCAGGGUGCACCGCUGCAUUCAACGCCGAAUCUUCACUCUAUAUGCAGCAGGUCGGGGUUCGAUUCCCCGCGUCCCGA